Molecule: long non-coding RNA, 645 nt
Organism: Scatophagus argus
Lineage: Eukaryota; Metazoa; Chordata; Actinopteri; Scatophagidae
Exons: 4
Source: RefSeq, a predicted model, not a curated record
UUAAAAUAAGUGGAGGAAAUAGAAAUGCAUAUGUACUUGAGUGUCGCCUGUUACUUGUCUAAGCCAUUAAUUUACUUGAUUUGUAAUCAUAAGACCAGGUAUUACCAUGUCUGGCAUCUAUUUUCUGAUUUGUCAAUAUAGAUGGGUGGAGAACAAAGAGACUGAACGUACAUUAACAGUGGUAAUAUUUUGCGGUAAGAUUUGAAUACUGAAGCUAAUAUUUAGAUCUGACUUUUAGGCAAAUCUAGUGGACUAUAGCACAUUGCAAUUAGCCCCACCUGAAAGUGUGGAGGUGGGAUGUUUCCUAAUAAUUGAAAUUUCCCAACAAAGCUGCAUGCUGAUGAGAUGACCAUCAGCUCCUCUAACUGUAUAUAAGUGAAGCUCAACAUUCAGAUCAACACAACAACCUACUCAACCAUCUGCGAGACAGCCUGCUGACUUGAAGCAAGUGUUAACCAUGCUGAAGGUAGUGCUUGUACUUGGAUGCCUCUUGAGCCUCACCCUGGCUCACCCUAAGCCUGCACGCAAGCGGUUUCCUUGGUCAUGCUUGGGCUCUCACUCUAGCUCUGGCUCUGGCUCUGACUCCAACGAGCAAACCACCACCCAGUCAACAACAACCACAGCAGCAACAACAACCACAGCAGC